GGCGGACGGGUGAGUAAUGCUUGGGAAUAUGCCUUAUGGUGGGGGACAACAGUUGGAAACGACUGCUAAUACCGCAUGAUGUCUUUGGACCAAAGUGGGGGACCUUCGGGCCUCACGCCAUAAGAUUAGCCCAAGUGGGAUUAGCUAGUUGGUGAGGUAAUGGCUCACCAAGGCGACGAUCCCUAGCUGGUUUGAGAGGAUGAUCAGCCACACUGGGACUGAGACACGGCCCAGACUCCUACGGGAGGCAGCAGUGGGGAAUAUUGCACAAUGGGCGCAAGCCUGGUGCAGCCAUGCCGCGUGUGUGAAGAAGGCCUUCGGGUUGUAAAGCACUUUCAGUAAGGAGGAAAGGUUAAGUGUUAAUAGCACUUAGCUGUGACGUUACUUACAGAAGAAGCACCGGCUAACUCCGUGCCAGCAGCCGCGGUAAUACGGAGGGUGCGAGCGUUAAUCGGAAUUACUGGGCGUAAAGCGUAC
This 477-nucleotide ribosomal RNA is filed under the name uncultured Pseudoalteromonas sp. RNAcentral describes it as "bacterial SSU rRNA". It matches the Rfam family "Bacterial small subunit ribosomal RNA", at positions 97 to 570 of the family's 1533-position model. Lineage: Bacteria; Pseudomonadati; Pseudomonadota; Gammaproteobacteria; Alteromonadales; Pseudoalteromonadaceae. The record is from RNAcentral.